AGGGGUCAAUGUUCAGUGAUAGAACAUCUGUUUGGCAUGCAGAAGGUCCCAGUUUCAAUCCCUGGUAUCUCUA
Molecule: transfer RNA, 73 nt
Filed under: Sphaerodactylus townsendi
Lineage: Eukaryota; Metazoa; Chordata; Lepidosauria; Squamata; Sphaerodactylidae
Description: tRNA-Ala
Rfam family: tRNA
About the family: Transfer RNA (tRNA) molecules are approximately 80 nucleotides in length. Their secondary structure includes four short double-helical elements and three loops (D, anti-codon, and T loops).
Source: RNAcentral